Salmo salar (Atlantic salmon) is the source of this 931-nucleotide long non-coding RNA. RefSeq lists it as uncharacterized. NCBI's taxonomy places the organism in Eukaryota, Metazoa, Chordata, Actinopteri, Salmoniformes, Salmonidae. The record is from RefSeq and is a predicted model, not a curated record.
UUUUACUUCCUACCGGGUUGCUGACUUCCGGAGCGAUUUACGCUAUUGUUUUUAUCAUUAGUUUACUAGGUCGUCAAUGCAUUUCUGACUGAAAUAGUUCCGAAUGCCUACGUUUAAAUUACAGCAUGAACAUUGUUCAGUGCCUCUGUGUUCAGGUUCUUCAAAAUGUAAUGGUAUUGUGAGCUUCUGUAGUUUCCCAGUCGAUGUAGAGCUCAGGAAACCGUGGUUUGUGGCAGAACGUCGUGACAAGUGUAGGUGUGUAGUACACAUUUCGUCAAGAGUGACUUUGUUGAGGGGAAAAUUGUGGGGCGACAAUACCUAAAAAGAGGUGUUGUUCCUACAGUCUUCGCGUGGAACUGGCACAUUCAAUAGUGACCUGGUGUUUGGAAAAGAAAACUGAAACCUCCUGCCCCGACUGAAGAGGAUGAAGAACAAGGUGCGCUGCCUAUGGACUGUGCCGUCUCUUGAUCCAGGCCAGAUUACUGUGCAGUCCCUGAACAUGGCAAACCAUGAGCACAUAAGAGAAAUUGAGGAGCUUCGAGCCAAGCUGGAGAAACUGACCGCACAACACGGCUUUGGUCUACAGCGAUUUGCUGGUUCUGACGAGGAUAUACGUUUUUACACAAGAUUUGCAAACUACACCCACCUGAUGGCCUUCUGGUACAUGAUUGAGCGGGCAGCAGAGACCAAGUUUAUAAGAGUCACAAGCACCAAUCCAUCUGAAACAAGUGUUACUUGAAGAAAACCAACCCUGCCAUCAAUCGAUGAGUUCUUCUUGUUUAUGACUCGUCUGUCGCUGGGUCUGAAGCAGAAGGAUUUGGCCCAUCGGUUCAGGAUCCACCAAUCGACAGUGAGACAGAUUAUCAUAUCUUGGGCCAUCAUCCUCUAUUGUCUGCUUGGAUCAGCACGGAUAUGGAUCCCCAAGGAAACA